This 1324-nucleotide ribosomal RNA is filed under the name Escherichia coli. Its description in RNAcentral is "partial 23S ribosomal RNA". It matches the Rfam family "Bacterial large subunit ribosomal RNA", at positions 418 to 1746 of the family's 2925-position model. The record is from RNAcentral. Lineage: Bacteria; Pseudomonadati; Pseudomonadota; Gammaproteobacteria; Enterobacterales; Enterobacteriaceae.
CGGGACACGUGGUAUCCUGUCUGAAUAUGGGGGGACCAUCCUCCAAGGCUAAAUACUCCUGACUGACCGAUAGUGAACCAGUACCGUGAGGGAAAGGCGAAAAGAACCCCGGCGAGGGGAGUGAAAAAGAACCUGAAACCGUGUACGUACAAGCAGUGGGAGCCUCUUUAUGGGGUGACUGCGUACCUUUUGUAUAAUGGGUCAGCGACUUAUAUUCUGUAGCAAGGUUAACCGAAUAGGGGAGCCGAAGGGAAACCGAGUCUUAACUGGGCGUUAAGUUGCAGGGUAUAGACCCGAAACCCGGUGAUCUAGCCAUGGGCAGGUUGAAGGUUGGGUAACACUAACUGGAGGACCGAACCGACUAAUGUUGAAAAAUUAGCGGAUGACUUGUGGCUGGGGGUGAAAGGCCAAUCAAACCGGGAGAUAGCUGGUUCUCCCCGAAAGCUAUUUAGGUAGCGCCUCGUGAAUUCAUCUCCGGGGGUAGAGCACUGUUUCGGCAAGGGGGUCAUCCCGACUUACCAACCCGAUGCAAACUGCGAAUACCGGAGAAUGUUAUCACGGGAGACACACGGCGGGUGCUAACGUCCGUCGUGAAGAGGGAAACAACCCAGACCGCCAGCUAAGGUCCCAAAGUCAUGGUUAAGUGGGAAACGAUGUGGGAAGGCCCAGACAGCCAGGAUGUUGGCUUAGAAGCAGCCAUCAUUUAAAGAAAGCGUAAUAGCUCACUGGUCGAGUCGGCCUGCGCGGAAGAUGUAACGGGGCUAAACCAUGCACCGAAGCUGCGGCAGCGACACUAUGUGUUGUUGGGUAGGGGAGCGUUCUGUAAGCCUGCGAAGGUGUACUGUGAGGUAUGCUGGAGGUAUCAGAAGUGCGAAUGCUGACAUAAGUAACGAUAAAGCGGGUGAAAAGCCCGCUCGCCGGAAGACCAAGGGUUCCUGUCCAACGUUAAUCGGGGCAGGGUGAGUCGACCCCUAAGGCGAGGCCGAAAGGCGUAGUCGAUGGGAAACAGGUUAAUAUUCCUGUACUUGGUGUUACUGCGAAGGGGGGACGGAGAAGGCUAUGUUGGCCGGGCGACGGUUGUCCCGGUUUAAGCGUGUAGGCUGGUUUUCCAGGCAAAUCCGGAAAAUCAAGGCUGAGGCGUGAUGACGAGGCACUACGGUGCUGAAGCAACAAAUGCCCUGCUUCCAGGAAAAGCCUCUAAGCAUCAGGUAACAUCAAAUCGUACCCCAAACCGACACAGGUGGUCAGGUAGAGAAUACCAAGGCGCUUGAGAGAACUCGGGUGAAGGAACUAGGCAAAAUGGUGCCGUAACUUCGGGAGAAGG